This 24-nucleotide non-coding RNA is filed under the name Arabidopsis thaliana (thale cress). Lineage: Eukaryota; Viridiplantae; Streptophyta; Magnoliopsida; Brassicales; Brassicaceae. The record is from RNAcentral.
GUACAGAUAUAAACCUAUGUACAG